This 201-nucleotide ribosomal RNA is filed under the name Triticum aestivum (bread wheat). RNAcentral describes it as "partial small subunit ribosomal RNA". Lineage: Eukaryota; Viridiplantae; Streptophyta; Magnoliopsida; Poales; Poaceae. The record is from RNAcentral.
AUGUCAACCACCCUCUUAUCUCUCUUCUUACAGAAGGCAGCCAACCCUCUCACAGCAUCGUUAUACUCCCGCCGCGCCUUGCGCAUUGCCUUCUUGUUAUCCUCCUCCAUGAGCCUCCUAACACGGCGGUUCUCCCCACGGGAUGCGUCCCACUCGGCCGCCCACCCGAAGUCCAUAACCGAGCCGAAACCCAGCCAGUAG